GCCUGGGUGGCUCAGUCGGUUGAGCGUCCGACUUCGGCUCAGGCCAUGAUCUCGCGGCUGUGGGUUCAAGACCCACAUGGGGCU
RNAcentral lists this transfer RNA (84 nucleotides) under Felis catus (domestic cat). It matches the Rfam family "tRNA". From Rfam's summary of the family: Transfer RNA (tRNA) molecules are approximately 80 nucleotides in length. Their secondary structure includes four short double-helical elements and three loops (D, anti-codon, and T loops). Further hydrogen bonds mediate the characteristic L-shaped molecular structure. tRNAs have two regions of fundamental functional importance: the anti-codon, which is responsible for specific mRNA codon recognition, and the 3' end, to which the tRNAs corresponding amino acid is attached (by aminoacyl-tRNA synthetases). tRNAs cope with the degeneracy of the genetic code in two manners: having more than one tRNA (with a specific anti-codon) for a particular amino acid; and 'wobble' base-pairing, i.e. permitting non-standard base-pairing at the 3rd anti-codon position. Lineage: Eukaryota; Metazoa; Chordata; Mammalia; Carnivora; Felidae. The record is from Rfam by way of RNAcentral.